RNAcentral lists this ribosomal RNA (497 nucleotides) under uncultured bacterium. Its description in RNAcentral is "partial 16S ribosomal RNA". It matches the Rfam family "Bacterial small subunit ribosomal RNA", at positions 28 to 507 of the family's 1533-position model. The record is from RNAcentral.
GAUGAACGCUGGCGGCGUGCCUAAUACAUGCAAGUAGAACGCUGAAGGAAGGAGCUUGCUCUUUCCGGAUGAGUUGCGAACGGGUGAGUAACGCGUAGGUAACCUGCCUGGUAGCGGGGGAUAACUAUUGGAAACGAUAGCUAAUACCGCAUAACAGUAGAUGUUGCAUGAUAUCUACUUAAAAGGUGCAAUUGCACCACUACCAGAUGGACCUGCGUUGUAUUAGCUAGUUGGUGAGGUAACGGCUCACCAAGGCGACGAUACAUAGCCGACCUGAGAGGGUGAUCGGCCACACUGGGACUGAGACACGGCCCAGACUCCUACGGGAGGCAGCAGUAGGGAAUCUUCGGCAAUGGACGGAAGUCUGGCCGAGCAACGCCGCGUGAGUGAAGAAGGUUGUCGGAUCGUAAAGCUCUGUUGUAAGAGAAGAACGAGUGUGAGAGUGGAAAGUUCACACUGUGACGGUAUCUUACCAGAAAGGGACGGCUAACUACGUG